CCUUCGGGGUGCCCAGGCGCGAAAACUUUGCAAUGCGGGAAACCGUGACAAGGGAACUCUGAGUGCCCGUUAAAUCGGGCUGUCCAUCGGUUUAAAUAACCGGUGAAGAAAGGGCCGGGCAAGACCGGUGCCAGCCGCCGGUAUUACCGCGGCGGCUCGAGUGGUGGCCACUAUUACUGGGCUUAAAGCGUUCGUAGCUGGUUUGUUAAGUCUCUGGGGAAAUCUUCCGGCUUAACCGGAAGGCGUCUCAGGGAUACUGGCAGACUAGGGACCGGGAGAGGUGAGAGGUACUCCAGGGGUAGGAGUGAAAUCCUGUAAUCCUUGGGGGACCACCUGUGGCGAAGGCGUCUCACCAGAACGGCUCCGACAGUGAGGGACGAAAGCUGGGGGAGCAAACCGGAUUAGAUACCCGGGUAGUCCCAGCUGUAAACGAUGCGCGUUAGGUGUAUCGGUGACCACGAGUCACCGAGGUGCCGAAGAGAAAUCGUGAAACGUGCCGCCUGGGAAGUACGGUCGCAAGGCUGAAACUUAAAGGAAUUGGCGGGGGAGCAC
This 552-nucleotide ribosomal RNA is filed under the name uncultured archaeon. Its description in RNAcentral is "bacterial SSU rRNA". It matches the Rfam family "Archaeal small subunit ribosomal RNA", at positions 322 to 879 of the family's 1478-position model. The record is from RNAcentral.